UACGUAGGGUGCAAGCGUUGUCCGGAAUUAUUGGGCGUAAAGAGCUCGUAGGCGGUCUGUCGCGUCGGCUGUGAAAUCCCGAGGCUCAACCUCGGGUCUGCAGUCGAUACGGGCAAACUGGAGUGUUGCAGGGGAGACUGGAAUUCCUGGUGUAACGGUGAAAUGCGCAGAUAUCAGGAGGAACACCGGUGGCGAAGGCGGGUCUCUGGGCAACAACUGACGCUGAGGAGCGAAAGCGUGGGGAGCGAACAGG
Molecule: ribosomal RNA, 253 nt
Filed under: uncultured bacterium
Lineage: Bacteria
Description: partial 16S ribosomal RNA
Rfam family: Bacterial small subunit ribosomal RNA
Source: RNAcentral